RNAcentral lists this ribosomal RNA (492 nucleotides) under uncultured bacterium. RNAcentral describes it as "partial 16S ribosomal RNA". It matches the Rfam family "Bacterial small subunit ribosomal RNA", at positions 29 to 507 of the family's 1533-position model. The record is from RNAcentral.
AGUGAACGCUGGCGGCAGGCCUAACACAUGCAAGUCGAACGGCAGCACAGUAAGAGCUUGCUCUUACGGGUGGCGAGUGGCGGACGGGUGAGGAAUACAUCGGAAUCUACUUUUUCGUGGGGGAUAACGUAGGGAAACUUACGCUAAUACCGCAUACGACCUACGGGUGAAAGCAGGGGAUCUUCGGACCUUGCGCGAUUGAAUGAGCCGAUGUCGGAUUAGCUAGUUGGCGGGGUAAAGGCCCACCAAGGCGACGAUCCGUAGCUGGUCUGAGGGGAUGAUCAGCCACACUGGAACUGAGACACGGUCCAGACUCCUACGGGAGGCAGCAGUGGGGAAUAUUGGACAAUGGGCGCAAGCCUGAUCCAGCCAUACCGCGUGGGUGAAGAAGGCCUUCGGGUUGUAAAGCCCUUUUGUUGGGAAAGAAAAGCAGCAGGUUAAUACCCCGCUGUUCUGACGGUACCCAAAGAAUAAGCACCGGCUAACUUCGUG